AUUGAACGCUGGCGGCAGGCCUAACACAUGCAAGUCGAGCGAGCGGCGGACGGGUGAGUACUGUCUGGGAAACUGCCUGAUGGAGGGGGAUAACUACUGGAAACGGUAGCUAAUACCGCAUACCAUCAGAUGUUCCCAGAUGGGAUUAGCUAGUAGGUGGGGUAAUGGCUCACCUAGGCGACGAUCCCUCGCUGGUCUGAGAGGGUGACCAGCCACACUGGAACUGAGACACGGUCCAGACUCCUACGUGAGGCAGCAGUGGGGAAUAUUGGACAAUGGGCGCAAGCCUGAUGCAGCCAUGCCGCGUGGGUGAAGAAGGCCUUCGGGUUGUAAAGCGCUGUCAGCGGGGAGGCGUUACCUGCAGAAGAAGCACCGGCUAACUCCGUGCCAGCAGCCGCGGUAAUUC
Molecule: ribosomal RNA, 406 nt
Filed under: uncultured bacterium
Lineage: Bacteria
Description: partial 16S ribosomal RNA
Rfam family: Bacterial small subunit ribosomal RNA
Source: RNAcentral